RNAcentral lists this small nucleolar RNA (78 nucleotides) under Megaselia scalaris. Lineage: Eukaryota; Metazoa; Arthropoda; Insecta; Diptera; Phoridae. The record is from RNAcentral.
UUUUAAUGAUGAUUACCUUAUCACCAUCUUUCGACUGUACAUCCUUGAUGUUAUCCUCUUUUUUAACUGAUUUGAAAU